This 497-nucleotide ribosomal RNA is filed under the name uncultured bacterium. Its description in RNAcentral is "partial 16S ribosomal RNA". It matches the Rfam family "Bacterial small subunit ribosomal RNA", at positions 28 to 507 of the family's 1533-position model. The record is from RNAcentral.
GAUGAACGCUGGCGGCGUGCCUAAUACAUGCAAGUCGAGCGAACGGACGAGAAGCUUGCUUCUCUGAUGUUAGCGGCGGACGGGUGAUAAACCCUUGGUUAACCUCCUUUUAAGACGGGGUUAACUCCGGAAAACCGGAGCUAAUACGGGAAAAUAUUUUGAACCGCAUGGUUCAAAAGUGAAAAACGGUUUUGCGUUCACUAUUAGAUGGAUCCGCGCUGCAUUAGCUAGUUGGUAAGGUAACGGCUUACCAAGGCAACGAUGCAUAGCCGACCUGAGAGGGUGAUCGGCCACACUGGAACUGAGACACGGUCCAGACUCCUAUGGGAGGCAGCAGUAGGGAAUCUUCCGCAAUGGGCGAAAGCCUGACGGAGCAACGCCGCGUGAGUGAUGAAGGUCUUCGGAUCGUAAAACUCUGUUAUUAGGGAAGAACAUAUGUGUAAGUAACUGUGCACAUCUUGACGGUACCUAAUCAGAAAGCCACGGCUAACUACGUG